UGCCAGCCGCCGCGGUAACACGGGGGGCGCAAGCGUUAUUCGGAAUUAUUGGGCGUAAAGGGCGCGCAGGCGGUCUUGUCCGUCAGGUGUGAAAGCUCGGGGCUCAACCCCGGAAGUGCACUUGAAACAGCAAGACUUGAAUACGGUAGAGGAGAGAGGAAUUCCUGGUGUAGAGGUGAAAUUCGUAGAUAUCAGGAGGAACACCGGAGGCGAAGGCGACCCGCUGGAGCCAUUCUGACGCUGAGGCGCGAAGGCGUGGGUAGCGAACGGGAUUAGAUA
This 279-nucleotide ribosomal RNA is filed under the name uncultured bacterium. Its description in RNAcentral is "partial 16S ribosomal RNA". It matches the Rfam family "Bacterial small subunit ribosomal RNA", at positions 506 to 784 of the family's 1533-position model. The record is from RNAcentral.